GAUGAACGCUGGCGGCGUGCCUAAUACAUGCAAGUCGAGCGAACGGACGAGAAGCUUGCUUCUCUGAUGUUAGCGGCGGACGGGUGAGUAACACGUGGAUAACCUACCUAUAAGACUGGGAUAACUUCGGGAAACCGGAGCUAAUACCGGAUAAUAUUUUGAACCGCAUGGUUCAAAAGUGAAAGACGGUCUUGCUGUCACUUAUAGAUGGAUCCGCGCUGCAUUAGCUAGUUGGUAAGGUAACGGCUUACCAAGGCAACGAUGCAUAGCCGACCUGAGAGGGUGAUCGGCCACACUGGAACUGAGACACGGUCCAGACUCCUACGGGAGGCAGCAGUAGGGAAUCUUCCGCAAUGGGCGAAAGCCUGACGGAGCAACGCCGCGUGAGUGAUGAAGGUCUUCGGAUCGUAAAACUCUGUUAUUAGGGAAGAACAUAUGUGUAAGUAACUGUGCACAUCUUGACGGUACCUAAUCAGAAAGCCACGGCUAACUACGUGCCAGCAGCCGCGGUAAUACGUAGGUGGCAAGCGUUAUCCGGAAUUAUUGGGCGUAAAGCGCGCGUAGGCGGUUUUUUAAGUCUGAUGUGAAAGCCCACGGCUCAACCGUGGAGGGUCAUUGGAAACUGGAAAACUUGAGUGCAGAAGAGGAAAGUGGAAUUCCAUGUGUAGCGGUGAAAUGCGCAGAGAUAUGGAGGAACACCAGUGGCGAAGGCGACUUUCUGGUCUGUAACUGACGCUGAUGUGCGAAAGCGUGGGGAUCAAACAGGAUUAGAUACCCUGGUAGUCCACGCCGUAAACGAUGAGUGCUAAGUGUUAGGGGGUUUCCGCCCCUUAGUGCUGCAGCUAACGCAUUAAGCACUCCGCCUGGGGAGUACGACCGCAAGGUUGAAACUCAAAGGAAUUGACGGGGACCCGCACAAGCGGUGGAGCAUGUGGUUUAAUUCGAAGCAACGCGAAGAACCUUACCAAAUCUUGACAUCCUUUGACAACUCUAGAGAUAGAGCCUUCCCCUUCGGGGGACAAAGUGACAGGUGGUGCAUGGUUGUCGUCAGCUCGUGUCGUGAGAUGUUGGGUUAAGUCCCGCAACGAGCGCAACCCUUAAGCUUAGUUGCCAUCAUUAAGUUGGGCACUCUAAGUUGACUGCCGGUGACAAACCGGAGGAAGGUGGGGAUGACGUCAAAUCAUCAUGCCCCUUAUGAUUUGGGCUACACACGUGCUACAAUGGACGAUACAAAGGGCAGCGAAACCGCGAGGUCAAGCAAAUCCCAUAAAGUUGUUCUCAGUUCGGAUUGUAGUCUGCAACUCGACUACAUGAAGCUGGAAUCGCUAGUAAUCGUAGAUCAGCAUGCUACGGUGAAUACGUUCCCGGGUCU
RNAcentral lists this ribosomal RNA (1372 nucleotides) under uncultured bacterium. RNAcentral describes it as "bacterial SSU rRNA". It matches the Rfam family "Bacterial small subunit ribosomal RNA", at positions 28 to 1381 of the family's 1533-position model. The record is from RNAcentral.